AACGAACGCUGGCGGCAUGCCUAACACAUGCAAGUCGAACGAAACCUUCGGGUCUAGUGGCGCACGGGUGCGUAACGCGUGGGAACCUGCCCUUAGGUUCGGAAUAACUCCCCGAAAGGGGUGCUAAUACCGGAUAAUGUCUUCGGACCAAAGAUUUAUCGCCUUUGGAUGGGCCCGCGUUGGAUUAGCUAGUUGGUAGGGUAAAAGCCUGCCAAGGCGAGGAUCCAUAGCUGGUCUGAGAGGAUGAUCAGCCACACUGGGACUGAGACACGGCCCAGACUGGUGGGAGAGGCAGGGGUGGGUGAUAUUGGAGCAGGGGCGAGAGCCUGAUCCGGCGAUGGCGCGUGAGUGAUGAAGGCGUUGGGGUUGUAAAGCUCUUUUACCGGGGAUGAUAAUGACGGUACCGGGAGAAGAAGCUCCGGCUAACUACGUG
This 433-nucleotide ribosomal RNA is filed under the name uncultured bacterium. RNAcentral's name for it is "partial 16S ribosomal RNA". It matches the Rfam family "Bacterial small subunit ribosomal RNA", at positions 29 to 507 of the family's 1533-position model. The record is from RNAcentral.